GGAUGCAGUACUAGAACU
This 18-nucleotide unclassified non-coding RNA is filed under the name Mus musculus (house mouse). RNAcentral describes it as "oocyte_clustered_small_RNA6076". The record is from RNAcentral. Lineage: Eukaryota; Metazoa; Chordata; Mammalia; Rodentia; Muridae.